GGUAUAGUUAAUCUGCCCUACACAAGAGGACAACAGUUGGAAACGACUGCUAAUACUCUAUACUCCUGCUUAACACAAGUUGAGUAGGGAAAGUUUUUCGGUGUAGGAUGAGACUAUAUAGUAUCAGCUAGUUGGUAAGGUAAUGGCUUACCAAGGCUAUGACGCUUAACUGGUCUGAGAGGAUGAUCAGUCACACUGGAACUGAGACACGGUCCAGACUCCUACGGGAGGCAGCAGUAGGGAAUAUUGCGCAAUGGGGGAAACCCUGACGCAGCAACGCCGCGUGGAGGAUGACACUUUUCGGAGCGUAAACUCCUUUUCUUAGGGAAGAAUUCUGACGGUACCUAAGGAAUAAGCACCGGCUAACUCCGUGCCAGCAGCCGCGGUAAUACGGAGGGUGCAAGCGUUACUCGGAAUCACUGGGCGUAAAGGGCGCGUAGGCGGAUUAUCAAGUCUCUUGUGAAAUCUAAUGGCUUAACCAUUAAACUGCUUGGGAAACUGAUAGUCUAGAGUGAGGGAGAGGCAGAUGGAAUUGGUGGUGUAGGGGUAAAAUCCGUAGAUAUCACCAAGAAUACCCAUUGCGAAGGCGAUCUGCUGGAACUCAACUGACGCUAAGGCGCGAAAGCGUGGGGAGCAAACAGGAUUAGAUACCCUGGUAGUCCACGCCCUAAACGAUGUACACUAGUUGUUGGGGUGCUAGUCAUCUCAGUAAUGCAGCUAACGCAUUAAGUGUACCGCCUGGGGAGUACGGUCGCAAGAUUAAAACUCAAAGGAAUAGACGGGGACCCGCACAAGCGGUGGAGCAUGUGGUUUAAUUCGAAGAUACGCGAAGAACCUUACCUGGGCUUGAUAUCCUAAGAACCUUUUAGAGAUAAGAGGGUGCUAGCUUGCUAGAACUUAGAGACAGGUGCUGCACGGCUGUCGUCAGCUCGUGUCGUGAGAUGUUGGGUUAAGUCCCGCAACGAGCGCAACCCACGUAUUUAGUUGCUAACGGUUCGGCCGAGCACUCUAAAUAGACUGCCUUCGUAAGGAGGAGGAAGGUGUGGACGACGUCAAGUCAUCAUGGCCCUUAUGCCCAGGGCGACACACGUGCUACAAUGGCAUAUACAAUGAGACGCAAUACCGCGAGGUGGAGCAAAUCUAUAAAAUAUGUCCCAGUUCGGAUUGUUCUCUGCAACUCGAGAGC
This 1186-nucleotide ribosomal RNA is filed under the name Campylobacter jejuni. RNAcentral describes it as "bacterial SSU rRNA". It matches the Rfam family "Bacterial small subunit ribosomal RNA", at positions 114 to 1319 of the family's 1533-position model. Lineage: Bacteria; Pseudomonadati; Campylobacterota; Epsilonproteobacteria; Campylobacterales; Campylobacteraceae. The record is from RNAcentral.